AUCCAGCUGACGAGUCUCAAAUAGGACGAAACGCGCGUCCUAGGU
Non-coding RNA from Schistosoma mansoni, 45 nucleotides. The record is from Rfam. Lineage: Eukaryota; Metazoa; Platyhelminthes; Trematoda; Strigeidida; Schistosomatidae.